GGCACGAACCCUUUUGUUUUCCAUCCACCCCUCAAAAAGUAGAGCUAACUUAAAAAUGAAAGCAGACCAGAGAACCUGCCCUUUAUGGGAGGGCCUUCUACUAAAUCCCUUCACAUCAUUAUCAUCAUGCUCAGGCUUCGGGAGCUGGUGUACCGUAUGGUAUUCAAUAGUGUCGAACAGUCUCCUGCACAUAACCAUGUCAACCGUCCAGGACGACCACCCAGGUCUAUCAGCCUAACCAACCAACCUGGCCGACCCCAUGGUUAGGUUAUUAAUGAUAAACGCCUCAUUAAAACCCCUAAUGGAGAUUAAGGUAUGAUUAGGCUGUCAUCUGGCCCACGAAAGGUAAAAGCCCAUUACAACCAGUAUAAAUAAGGGUCCCAGGUAUGAUUUCAAGACAGAUUGCACACGUUGCAUAUUAUGCAUACCACAUGCAUCACUUAUAAUAAUAACCGUUCAGUCACUUUAUUGACUUGAGUUUUGGAGUGCCUUUAACAGGUACCCACCCGCCCAGCUUGGAGAACGAGGAAGGAGAACGAACUUGGAGUGCGAGGAAGAAGCAGUCAAUCGUUCGACCCUCAACAGGAAAAGCGUCCCAUCC
This 601-nucleotide long non-coding RNA is filed under the name Vigna radiata. Its description in RNAcentral is "long non-coding RNA (VRAD_LNC010445)". Lineage: Eukaryota; Viridiplantae; Streptophyta; Magnoliopsida; Fabales; Fabaceae. The record is from RNAcentral.